CACGGACAAGAUUUCAGUAUCUCUCGUGACAGUGUGGAGAAAGUGAGGUCAAUCCGCGCGAGGGAAAGAAAAUUAUUAAGUUUAAAGGAUAUUCAUUUCAGUAACGGUUUCGGUACGCGAAGCCCCACCUGCCCCCCCUACCCUACCCCCCCUUGACGAUGUGCUUCCUCUGAGCGUACGACCACUCCGCUAAGACGACCAGCCAGCUAAGA
Non-coding RNA from Penaeus vannamei (Pacific white shrimp), 212 nucleotides. NCBI's taxonomy places the organism in Eukaryota, Metazoa, Arthropoda, Malacostraca, Decapoda, Penaeidae. The record is from RefSeq and is a predicted model, not a curated record.